UUGAUUGUUGAAUGGUCUAUAUAUAUGUCCCUUGGUGGUAACAUGAAGCAUGAACAAAUUGUAUAGCUUAGUUAGGGAGCUACCUUCAGGUGAGUUUGAAGGAACGCAGCUAUUGAACAAGUUGCAGACGAAAUGGGAGAUCAGCAAGAUCCAUCAUCUGGCGACCCCCAUGCCGUUGUUGUGGACAUCCCUUCCUCCUCCGAAGUCUUGGAGCGCGACCUAGCUGCAUGGCGCCAACACCACGGCGGUGGCUCUCAAUCUUCCACCCUUGCCAUCGGCAAGGUUUAUGACCUGACCCGCAACGUCGACGAGCACGAGUACGAUCCGCACUAUGUCUCCAUCGGCCCCUACCACCGGAACAGGAACCCGAACAUCGUCAGGAAGAACGAUAAGCUGGCAAGCCUCGACAGCAUUCUUAGCCGGGCGAGCCCCGGCACUACGGUGCAGACGUACCUGGCCGAGUUGGCUCCCAUCGAAGACCGUGCCAGGAGCUUCUAUGCCCACAUGUUCACUAACAUGAGCAGCAUGGAGUUCCUGCACAUGCUGCUUCUCGACGCCUGCUACGUGAUCGACUGGUUCGGCGACUUGAACACCGACAACAGUUCGCCUCCUGCCAAUGGAUCCGCACAGAGCAGCCAAGCACCGGCAGCAGGCGACGGUUCGCCUGUUGCCAAUGGGCACGGGCAAGAGGGUCAACAAGAGAGAAGCACAGCAUGGGCGGCACCAGGGGGCGGGAACAAGCUGGAGAUAGCAUGGAUGGUGCGGGAUGUGCUGUACCUCGCAGAGAAUCAGAUACCAUUUUUCGUCAUCGACAAGAUCCACAGUCUAACCUUUUCAGGUAGCCGAGCUCCGGUGGUGAAGGCGAUGGCAGGGCACAUCUCCGGCGUCCUGGAGAAGCAGCAAUACUUCACGGGGGCGGUGGAGGACGACGCUCGGCCGCCAGGCAACCUGCUGCACCUUCUGCACAUGCACUUCUCGAAACCUGCUGCUACUGCAUCGCCGUCGUCACGAACCGGCGAGCCUGUAGGCAGGUGCCGCACUGCCAUGGAGUACCACAUCAACGGCGUGAACUUCAAGAGCCGCCUCGUCGGCGGCAUCGAAGGAACCCGCAGCAUCCUCGAGGUGACGCUGGACAGAGCCAGUGGAACGCUGGUGGUGCCCCGGCUGAACAUCGACGGCAAUACAUGGCGGAUCCUGCGCAACUUGAUGGCGCUCGAGCAACAGAACCCCGCUGUCGGGAGCCACGUGACGGCGUACUGCAUCUUCGUGUCCCAUUUGGCGUGCACCGCGACGGACGUGGAGUUCCUGUCGAAGAGAGGGGUCAUCGACCACAGCCUUGGGAACCACGGCGAGGCCGCCGCCUGCUUCUCCGACCUCUGCAAGGGGAUCCAGUUUGACGCCGACGACCCGGGCUCCAACUACCUGAGGGGGACGUGCCAGGAGCUCGCCGAACUGUACCGCAGCCGCCGGCGACGGUGGGUGGCGCUGCUACUGCACAAGUACUCCGCCAACCCGUGGCUUGUCUUUGGGCUCAUGGCGGCAGCACUCGGGCUAGUUUGCGCCAUCGUGCAAGCAAUUUACUCUGUUUUGAGUUACAAUCAGGGAAAAUCGAAGUAGAAAUUAAAUCUAGAGGUGUGCCAGGGUUGAGCGAGUUUCAGGAGUGCUGUAUACCUGCAUGUAUAAAAGGCUCUCGUACCACAUAAUUUCUCAUAUUCCUUUUUCCACGUUUUGGUUUAUAACUCAUAAGAAUAAAGUGAUCGCUUGAAGCCUUGAA
Panicum virgatum (switchgrass) is the source of this 1774-nucleotide RNA transcript. RefSeq lists it as uncharacterized. Lineage: Eukaryota; Viridiplantae; Streptophyta; Magnoliopsida; Poales; Poaceae. The transcript has 3 exons. The record is from RefSeq and is a predicted model, not a curated record.